This 468-nucleotide ribosomal RNA is filed under the name uncultured bacterium. RNAcentral describes it as "bacterial SSU rRNA". It matches the Rfam family "Bacterial small subunit ribosomal RNA", at positions 30 to 497 of the family's 1533-position model. The record is from RNAcentral.
AUUGAACGCUGGCGGAAUGCUUUACACAUGCAAGUCGAACGGCAGCACGGGGCAACCUGGUGGCGAGUGGCGAACGGGUGAGUAAUACAUCGGAACGUGCCCAAUCGUGGGGAUAACGUAGCGAAAGUUACGCUAAUACCGCAUACGAUCUACGGAUGAAAGCGGGGGAUCGCAAGACCUCGCGCGAGUGGAGCGGCCGAUGUCAGAUUAGGUAGUUGGUGGGGUAAAGGCUCACCAAGCCAACGAUCUGUAGCUGGUCUGAGAGGACGACCAGCCACACUGGAACUGAGACACGGUCCAGACUCCUACGGGAGGCAGCAGUGGGGAAUUUUGGACAAUGGGCGCAAGCCUGAUCCAGCCAUUCCGCGUGCAGGAUGAAGGCCUUCGGUGUAACUGCUUUGUACGGUAACGAAACGGCGAGCUCUAAUACAGUUUGCUAAUGACGGUACCGUAAGAAUAAGACACCGG